This 253-nucleotide ribosomal RNA is filed under the name uncultured bacterium. Its description in RNAcentral is "partial 16S ribosomal RNA". It matches the Rfam family "Bacterial small subunit ribosomal RNA", at positions 524 to 776 of the family's 1533-position model. The record is from RNAcentral.
UACGUAGGUGGCAAGCGUUGUCCGGAUUUACUGGGCGUAAAGAGCGCGCAGGCGGUCGUACAAGUCGCGUGUGAAAGCCCCCGGCUCAACUGGGGAGGGUCACGCGAUACUGUUCGACUCGAAGGCAGGAGAGGGAAGCAGAAUUCCCGGUGUAGUGGUGAAAUGCGUAGAUAUCGGGAGGAACACCAGUGGCGAAGGCGGCUUUCUGGCCUGCUCUUGACGCUGAGGCGCGAAAGCUAGGGUAGCAAACGGG